Molecule: small RNA, 993 nt
Filed under: Histoplasma capsulatum
Lineage: Eukaryota; Fungi; Ascomycota; Eurotiomycetes; Onygenales; Ajellomycetaceae
Also listed under: 1 other name
Description: hypothetical RNA
Source: RNAcentral
GGCUGACAGAAAUAACGAGCAGUUGCAGUGGCUGAUAUUACUUCCAGUGCGCCCAGACCUCUCCACAAACACUAAUACCUCCCAUCGCCCUUGUGAAAUGCAAUAUUUCUUGACUGAACUUCUCUACGCAUUACGGUUAAACAAGUCUGCUGGUGAACCGCAAGAAAGGGAUCAUAUAUGGGCUGUGAAGAAAGUUCACUCCGAGAACAUCUUCAACUAGCCAACGCGGAGAUGUCUUGAUCUUCCCACCUUUGCGUCAAUUUCAAACAGUUGGAAAUACAUGGCCGGAAUACAGGGUGCGACUUCACUGUUUCAGUAACUUACCUCCACCUCCACUCAAGGUGUAAAAUUUCAUGUCAGCAAGACCUCGGUCUUUGCCUGUUCUUAAAUACUCAGGCAUGAUGAUUAAGCCCUAAAUGAAGAAAUCUACAGUUUAGCCACCUACAGAGGCCAAGGAAUUGACGAAACGGGCAACUUCGAAAUCUUGACAAAGAGUAACUUCUGACCUGGAGGGGUAAAGUAUCCGAAGUCGACCACGAUCUCAUUGCGAUUUUGCAGUGUCUCCUGCGUAGCAGCCGGGAUGGUGCGUAAGCUCAACUGAGUUCAAGGUUGUUCGAGCUUUCAUUCUGGCUAAACAACAUCGAUGUCAGGCUGGGGGGCAUCAAGGGGAAUCACGGCAAAGGCUCAAAAACAUCACUUUGUUCACACCGUCCACAUCUGUGACUCAUAUUUACGAAUCUCCUUGCACCAGCUAGAAUGAGCUCAAGAGCCACGAGGGACUAGAUCGCGCCUCCAUCAAGCUUACGGAGUUCAUUUGGCAAAUGGGCGCUACUGGAAGCUCAGCCGAAUUGAAUGGUUUACGGAAUAUAAGUUUGAACAUGGUUCUAGCGAUACAACUCCUUGAUCUUUUUAUUUUUAUUAUCUAUGGAUCUCUUACAGAUCUGUACAGUUAUGAAUGAAAAAUCAGUUGCUGGCCUAUUUCUUCCAGAGACG